UCAUUUUUGCCUUGUUUUUCUGUAAAUUGGGUCUUAAUGACUUGUUUGGUUUUUUCCACAAUAUAGACAUCACCUGAAGAUAACUGUUGGAUUACAUGGCCAAACUAUUUAUGGAUCCAGUGUUUACAGCAAUGACUUAUUUUUAUUUCCAAGAACGCUUCUAAUGAGGUGAUCGAAACAUUCCGAAGGCAUCAAUAUUAAGAAUGGUUUUCAUUUAAACUUAUUAAAUGAACAAGGAGACAAAAAACAAGGGUUCCAAACGUGGAGAAGUGGAGCCCUGUUAAUGGUCCAUCCUCUUAGAUUUGAAAAGUGCAAUUUUUCGAGAACAAAUGAAGUCCAAUUCAUAUUGAUGUAUUUAGGAAUAAAACUUGAGCAUCGUACAAUUAACCUCGAGAACGUCCAAAUGGUGAAAAAGGAAGAAUUAAAGUUCAGAUUGAUGGUAUUGAAACAGCCAAUGUCUUCUCUUGAUUUGCUGUUUUCGUCUUCAACUUGCAACAUUAUGCAGUUAAUUUUCAACAGAUGAGUGAGAGCCAGAGGAGAUUUAUAUGAAUUUCACUGGAACAAGUUUCCUGCUAUGAUAUUCCUUGUGGAUUUAGUUUGCUUUUCACACAUGCAAACUUGGGAAGUUUACAACAGUCUACUGUUUGUUAAGGUGAGAGUAUUUAAUAUAAUUCAUAUUAAUUGCUCUUUAUUAAUCUGUUACCACCGUAUCUGUUUCAGAUCGACGCUGGAGAAGACAAAGAAGACCCCGUA
This is a long non-coding RNA of Agrilus planipennis (emerald ash borer), 753 nucleotides long. RefSeq lists it as uncharacterized. The transcript has 3 exons. The record is from RefSeq and is a predicted model, not a curated record. Lineage: Eukaryota; Metazoa; Arthropoda; Insecta; Coleoptera; Buprestidae.